This is a non-coding RNA of Misgurnus anguillicaudatus (oriental weatherfish), 1324 nucleotides long. The record is from RefSeq and is a predicted model, not a curated record. Lineage: Eukaryota; Metazoa; Chordata; Actinopteri; Cypriniformes; Cobitidae.
CACACAAACACACAUCAACAGGGUAAAUGUUAAUAAUCUAACAAUACUAAACAAUACUUUUUGUUAACAGAUCAAGAUGAGAGUUUUGGUUUGUAAUGUGUCUGUGUUGUUGAAACAGUUCAGACCGGUGAAGAGGAAAUCACUUACGCAGAAACAACUUUCCAUAAAAGACAAACACAUAAACCAAGAACUCCAGAAGAAGUUGAAGUGGUGUACUUAGAAGUCACGUUAAAUCCUGAAAAACUCAACUGAACUACAGCAAACGGCUAAAAAUACAUCUUCACGCUAACUCAAAACUUGAAUAAAUGAGGUGAAACCUGACGUGAGAUUUGAUCAUAGCCACCAUAUUGAUGAAUGUCAAGUCUAAACGAGCCAAGAAACAACCAUGCGCAGAGUUCUCAUUUCAUAAAUGAGGCCCAAAGUAUGUUAAAUGUUUUAUGUUUGUUACUGAAUGCAUCAUUUCUGGGUUGACGUUAAACAUGGUGUGAAAAGAAAUGUGGUUAUGUUCUGUUGUUGGAAAUGAGAUAUGUGUUUGACUAUUGGCUGUUUGUGGUCUGUAAACAGGGAGCUGCGUGUAUAUGUAAGAGGUGUUAACAGCAUGUGCAUGUUGGUGUGAGUAUUGUGUCUUUCUUUUGCUGUCUUUCACACUACACAAAACUUAUUAUUGAACUCAUCAAUGCUAAACAAAUAAAAGAUGUUUUUAAUUAAACAAUGUUAUUACUGUGAGCUCUUAGUCUGUGAAAGUAAAAUUAUGAGAUUUAUGACUCAUGACAUGCUAUAUUGGUUGCUAUCAUUAUUAUUAUUUAUAUCAUGCUGUUCCUGUAGCUCAGUUGGUAAAGUGUUGCAUUAACAAUAGUAACCAAAAGUUCAUGCUUCCCAGAAAACAUACUGUACAUACUGAUACAAUGUACGUCUUAAAAGUCACUUGCUAAAUGCAUGAAUAUAAAUGUAUUUCUCAUGCAAACAAUACUAACUUUAGUGGAGUUUUUUCCAGCUUUAGCAAGAGACUUCUUUAUUUCUUCGCCUCACACCUCAUCGUCUCGCAUCUUAGCCACAUCUGCCAUCCUUUACCCUUUUUUAAAAGACCACGUCCUGUUUUUGUCAAUGUCAGGGACAAAUAUAAAUGAAUAAUGUUGAAGAACAAAUAAAGCUGCAGUAUUUCUGGCAUCAUGAUACUUUGAGAUUAUCACUGAUACUCUGAAAAGAUCUGUCAUCAGCAUUGAUCAAGGUGUUUUUAAACUGAUCAGAAAUAGCUUUAUAAAGCCAGAUCCUAUAUUUUAUGUGCAGUAUUGUACUGAAAUUUUACUGCGCGUAAAAUUGUGAC